This 467-nucleotide ribosomal RNA is filed under the name uncultured bacterium. RNAcentral's name for it is "partial 16S ribosomal RNA". It matches the Rfam family "Bacterial small subunit ribosomal RNA", at positions 28 to 506 of the family's 1533-position model. The record is from RNAcentral.
GACGAACGCUGGCGGCGUGCUUAACACAUGCAAGUCGAACGGAAAGGCCCUGCUUUUGUGGGGUGCUCGAGUGGCGAACGGGUGAGUAACACGUGAGUAACCUGCCCUUGACUUUGGGAUAACUUCAGGAAACUGGGGCUAAUACCGGAUAGGAGCUCCUGCUGCAUGGUGGGGGUUGGAAAGUUUCGGCGGUUGGGGAUGGACUCGCGGCUUAUCAGCUUGUUGGUGGGGUAGUGGCUUACCAAGGCUUUGACGGGUAGCCGGCCUGAGAGGGUGACCGGCCACAUGGGGACGGAGAUACGGCCCAGACCCCUCCGGGGGGCAGCGGGGGGGAAUUUUGCACAAUGGGGGGAGGCCUGAUGCGGCAACCCCGGGGGGGGGAUGACGGCCUUCGGGUUGUAAACCGCUUUCGCCUGUGACGAAGCGUGGGUGACGGGAAUGGGAAAAGAAGCACCGGCUAACUACGU